CUUACUUAUAAUAUUGCGGAGAACAAACCACAGCAAAGGGCAGUGGGUGUGACAAGCAUUGUGAGCGAUAUGUUUAGAGCGGGGGUGUGAUAGGGAUGGCGAAGAUGCACAGGGAAGUGAUGAGGUCCAUAGACGGAGCAUAGGGGAAGUGCUGUGGCUAGGGGAGAGCCUCUGUUAUAGAUCUAGUGUCAUAGAUCUGUCAGCAGCUCCCCAGUUUCUCUCCACUACCGUUUAUUGAAUGGUUACUAUGGGCUAAGUGUUUGUACUAUUUUGUUUAAUUCUUGAGAUGACCCUAAGUGUCAGAUAAAGCAUAAUUAUUAAGCUCAUUUGACAGAUGAGGAAAUUGAAACUUAGGUCACUUGUCCGAGGUCAUGAAGACAGCUGGUAAGUGAUGGAGCGAGAACUUGAAUCCCGGGCUUUACUGAUUCUAGAGCCCAUGGUUUUAACUAUCAUCCCAGAUCACCUGGGAAGCUCUCUCUUAUCUUUUAUUUUAUAGGCACUUGAUUUAUGUCACCCAUCUGGAAUGGGAUGGAGUGAGAAAAGGGGGUUUGGGAACUAUUGUCUCCUCAAGAUUACUCAGCUCUUUGAUAUCUCGCCUGGGAGCCACAUUGACUGUCAGCUAGAAGCUUUGCUGGGAUACCUACCCUUGAAGAACGGAUCACCUAAUAGGGGUACAGAACACAGCUGCCGAAGCAGGAAUUUAUCUUGGCACCUGCUGAUGGACGCGUGCACACAAGGAUCCAGAGAUUGAGUGAAGGAAGAUGCCUGGGACCAAGGAAAGCAGAAAUGGCGGGGCAUGCAUUACCUGUGGCAAUGGGGACACGAUGCAGGCCGGCCAUAGGAUAAAUAGUGUUUUCCAACCCUGCUUGACAGCAAGAAUUGCCCAAGGACCUGGUGGAAAACAGAUUCCCAGGCCUCAUCCCCUGCCGUCUCUGGAGAGGCGCGCGAAUCUAGAGUGUAACAAGUCACCAGGUGAUUCCUAUCAGGCCGUUUUUGGAACACAUCCCGGAACCCUCUACUCCAGUCUCUUGGUUUGGCUCUUUUGUCCUCGAUGCACCUGGCCCCAUAUUCUGUAAAGCUUUAGCUUUUGCUUGAAGGUGGACAUGAUUAAAAGGUCAUCUCUCAUUAUAAAUUCUCAA
Molecule: long non-coding RNA, 1139 nt
Filed under: Ursus maritimus (polar bear)
Lineage: Eukaryota; Metazoa; Chordata; Mammalia; Carnivora; Ursidae
Description: lncRNA (ENSUMAG00000008942.1)
Source: RNAcentral